Molecule: long non-coding RNA, 556 nt
Organism: Saccoglossus kowalevskii
Lineage: Eukaryota; Metazoa; Hemichordata; Enteropneusta; Harrimaniidae
Source: RefSeq, a predicted model, not a curated record
AGACAAUACGGCGUACUGUCUUGAUGUGCAUACUUUGGCAAAGUAAACUACAUAUAAAUGAGAGGUGGGUGUGUUGCGUCAAGCAUGUAUCAAACUAGAGGGCCUCAUUAAUAAUGCCAUGAUACACGAUCUUGAUAUUGUAUCAACAUUAAAUUACAUUUACUUUUGCAGGGUUUCGAGUGGAUGGACCCAUUUCUGCCUAUUCAUGUUGACAAGUACAGUGAUAAAGAAGCUGAAAGUUGUUUAGAUUAUUAUAUCGAUAGGCUAUGGCUGCAACAUUCAGCAGCUAAAAUGGAAAGUGGUAGGAAAGAGCUGAAAUUUUUGAGUGGAAAUAAUCCAGCUGAGUUGGAUAGAAUAUGUGGAGGACUCUAGAAUGGUGAACUCGUUAAUUCUGUGAUAGAGACACUGGUAUUUAAAUAUUCAAGAGCAAAGUGAAGAUCAUGGCAGUGUUAAUUCAGUUGUACACUAGUUCAUCAGAUCAUUGACUUACCAGUGGGUAUCAAAUCAAAUGUGAAAAAUGUAUAAUUUGAUUAAAUACAAUCAAGUCAUUUAGAAA